This 292-nucleotide ribosomal RNA is filed under the name uncultured prokaryote. Its description in RNAcentral is "partial 16S ribosomal RNA". It matches the Rfam family "Bacterial small subunit ribosomal RNA", at positions 505 to 796 of the family's 1533-position model. The record is from RNAcentral.
GUGUCAGCCGCCGCGGUAAUACGUAGGGUGCGAGCGUUGUCCGGAAUUAUUGGGCGUAAAGAGCUUGUAGGCGGUUUGUCGCGUCUGCUGUGAAAAUCCGAGGCUCAACCUCGGACUUGCAGUGGGUACGGGCAGACUAGAGUGUGGUAGGGGAGACCGGAAUUUCUGGUGUAGCGGUGAAAUGCGCAGAUAUCAGGAGGAACACCGAUGGCGAAGGCAGGUCUCUGGGCCACUACUGACGCCGAGAAGCGAAAGCAUGGGGAGCGAACAGGAUUAGAUACCCCGGUAGUCC